RNAcentral lists this transfer RNA (73 nucleotides) under Acidobacteriota bacterium. RNAcentral describes it as "tRNA-Leu". It matches the Rfam family "tRNA". Rfam says of the family: Transfer RNA (tRNA) molecules are approximately 80 nucleotides in length. Their secondary structure includes four short double-helical elements and three loops (D, anti-codon, and T loops). The record is from RNAcentral. Lineage: Bacteria; Pseudomonadati; Acidobacteriota.
GCCGACGUAGCCAAACGGCAAAGGCGCUCGUCUUAGGAACGAGUUUUUGCGAGUUCGACUCUCGCCGUCGGCA